UACGUAGGGGGCAAGCGUUGUCCGGAAUUAUUGGGCGUAAAGCGCGCGCAGGCGGUGGUUUAAGUCGGGUGUAUAAACCCAGGGCUCAACUCUGGGACGCACCGGAAACUGGACGACUGGAGUGCAGAAGAGGAGAGUGGAAUUCCACGUGUAGCGGUGAAAUGCGUAGAGAUGUGGAGGAACACCAGUGGCGAAGGCGACUCUCUGGUCUGUCACUGACGCUGAGGCGCGAAAGCGUGGGGAGCAAACAGG
RNAcentral lists this ribosomal RNA (252 nucleotides) under uncultured bacterium. Its description in RNAcentral is "partial 16S ribosomal RNA". It matches the Rfam family "Bacterial small subunit ribosomal RNA", at positions 524 to 776 of the family's 1533-position model. The record is from RNAcentral.